Molecule: ribosomal RNA, 419 nt
Filed under: uncultured bacterium
Lineage: Bacteria
Description: bacterial SSU rRNA
Rfam family: Bacterial small subunit ribosomal RNA
Source: RNAcentral
GAAUAUUGGUCAAUGGACGCAAGUCUGAACCAGCCAUGCCGCGUGGAGGAUGACAGCCUUCUGGGUUGUAAACUUCUUUUAUAUGGGAAGAAAAGUACGGUAUCUACUGUAUCCGACGGUACCAUAUGAAUAAGCACCGGCUAACUCCGUGCCAGCAGCCGCGGUAAUACGGAGGGUGCAAGCGUUAUCCGGAUUUACUGGGUUUAAAGGGUGUGUAGGCGGAUAUUUAAGUCAGAGGUGAAAUCUCCGGGCUCAACCCGGAAACUGCCUUUGAUACUAUUUAUCUUGAAUUUCGUUGAGGUUGGCGGAAUAUAUCAUGUAGCGGUGAAAUGCAUAGAUAUGAUAUAGAACACCGAUUGCGUAGGCAGCUGGCUGAACGACGAUUGACGCUGAGGCACGAAAGCGUGGGUAGCGAACAG